Molecule: ribosomal RNA, 379 nt
Filed under: Polypedates braueri (Java treefrog)
Lineage: Eukaryota; Metazoa; Chordata; Amphibia; Anura; Rhacophoridae
Description: partial 16S ribosomal RNA
Rfam family: Bacterial large subunit ribosomal RNA
Source: RNAcentral
CUUGACUUCCAAAUAAGAGGUCCAGCCUGCCCAGUGAAUUUUUAACGGCCGCGGUAUCCUAACCGCGCGAAGGUAGCAUAAUCACUUGUUCUUUAAAUGGGGACUCGUAUCAACGGCAUCACGAGGGUUCUACUGUCUCCUCUUUUUGAUCAGUGAAAUUGAUCUUCCCGUGAAGAAGCGGGAAUAUUAAUAUAAGACGAGAAGACCCCAUGGAGCUUUAAACCAAAUAGCAACUUAACCAUAUAUUGCCUAAUAACUUUAAGCCCGUGCUACAAGGUUUUUGGUUGGGGUGACCGCGGAGUAAAACACAUCCUCCACGACGGAAAGACUUUAAUCUUUAUUUAAGAACUACAAUUCUAGAAAUUAGUAUACUAACGUU